AUUGAACGCUUGCGGCAUGCCUUACACAUGCAAGUCGAACGGUAACGGGUCCUUCGGGAUGCCGACGAGUGGCGAACGGGUGAGUAAUAUAUCGGAACGUGCCCAGUAGUGGGGGAUAACUGCUCGAAAGAGCAGCUAAUACCGCAUACGACCUGAGGGUGAAAGGGGGGGAUCGCAAGACCUCUCGCUAUUGGAGCGGCCGAUAUCAGAUUAGCUAGUUGGUGGGGUAAAGGCCUACCAAGGCAACGAUCUGUAGUUGGUCUGAGAGGACGACCAGCCACACUGAGACUGAGACACGGCCCAGACUCCUACGGGAGGCAGCAGUGGGGAAUUUUGGACAAUGGGCGCAAGCCUGAUCCAGCAAUGCCGCGUGCAGGAAGAAGGCCUUCGGGUUGUAAACUGCUUUUGUCAGGGAAGAAAUCUUCUGGGCUAAUACCCCGGGAGGAUGACGGUACCUGAAGAAUAAGCACCGGCUAACUACGUGCCAGCAGCCGCGGUAAUACGUAGGGCGCGAGCGUUAAUCGGAAUUACUGGGCGUAAAGCGUGCGCAGGCGGCUUUGCAAGACAGAUGUGAAAUCCCCGGGCUCAACCUGGGAACUGCAUUUGUGACUGCAAGGCUAGAGUACGGCAGAGGGGGAUGGAAUUCCGCGUGUAGCAGUGAAAUGCGUAGAUAUGCGGAGGAACACCAAUGGCGAAGGCAAUCCCCUGGGCCUGUACUGACGCUCAUGCACGAAAGCGUGGGGAGCAAACAGGAUUAGAUACCCUGGUAGUCCACGCCCUAAACGACGUCAACUGGUUGUUGGACGGCUUGCUGUUCAGUAACGAAGCUAACGCGUGAAGUUGACCGCCUGGGGAGUACGGCCGCAAGGUUGAAACUCAAGGGAAUUGACGGGGACCCGCACAAGCGGUGGAUGAUGUGGUUUAAUUCGACGCAACGCGAAAAACCUUACCUACCCUUGACAUGUCAAGAAUUCUGCAGAGAUGUGGAAGUGCUCGAAAGAGAACUUGAACACAGGUGCUGCAUGGCCGUCGUCAGCUCGUGUCGUGAGAUGUUGGGUUAAGUCCCGCAACGAGCGCAACCCUUGUCAUUAGUUGCUACGCAAGAGCACUCUAAUGAGACUGCCGGUGACAAACCGGAGGAAGGUGGGGAUGACGUCAGGUCCUCGUGGCCCUUAUGGGUAGGGCUACACACGUCAUACAAUGGCCGGUACAGAGGGCUGCCAACCCGCGAGGGGGAGCCAAUCCCAGAAAACCGGUCGUAGUCCGGAUCGUAGUCUGCAACUCGACUGCGUGAAGUCGGAAUCGCUAGUAAUCGCGGAUCAGCUUGCCGCGGUGAAUACGUUCCCGGGUCU
RNAcentral lists this ribosomal RNA (1352 nucleotides) under uncultured bacterium. RNAcentral's name for it is "bacterial SSU rRNA". It matches the Rfam family "Bacterial small subunit ribosomal RNA", at positions 28 to 1381 of the family's 1533-position model. The record is from RNAcentral.